UGUAUCUUAGAACCAUUGAGCCUACAAAUAUUAUUGGAGUUGCAUCUGUGAGCAGGGCUCUGCUUUGAGUUCACGAGUGUUGCUAAGCAAUGGAAAGAGGGGGGAGGAGGAAAGAGUGCAAGAGAGAGUCUGACUUUAGGAGUACAAGAAUAAAUGGAAGAUAAUACUAAAGCCUCAUUUGCAGUGAAUGUUAAAAGUAUGAAAUAUUUCCUGUCUACCUUCUAAACUACUUGCAGCCUGCGCAAUGACUGCUAAAAUGUGGUUCUAUGUUUAAAUCAAUGCACAUCCUGCAAGUACAAAGUAGUGUUGCAUCCUGUAGCACUGACAAAAGCAGUGAGGCACCAGAACUGUUCACAUCUGCCUCUUGAAAGCUGCCUCCCAAUGGAUUUCACACAGGGGAUGUAACAGCCGUCUCUUGAGUCCAACAGAACUGACAAACUACCUAUUUAGUUUACCUAGGCUCCAUGCAGAGUGACUCCCAGAACCUCCUAAUCUUUACAACCAGCAUCUCUUUUGAAAAGGUGCAGAGAGUUUGUUUCCAUAUGUUCAUGAUUCCUCCAUACUGCUGUUCUUACCAACUAGUAAAUGAAUGCCUCCAGCUAGCAGUAACAUUUCUAUCAAUGUAACAGCCCAGCCCACAGGGAUCUAAUUUACUGAAACUGGUUAAGUGCUACACAAACAUCAUCUAGAGAGAUUAAUUGGCUGUUAAAGUUUGAUUGCUUUGCAAUCCCUUGGUGAUGGUUUGAAAAUGAAAAAGUGAUCUUUUGUCAUGAUGUAAAUACCUUGAGGUAUAGCAUAUGCAUGGGCUUUGUGUACAUUUUCUAAACACAGCAAGUCUUCUGUGGGGAGGAAGCCAUGACCUAUUUAUUUAGACUGAAAUUUAGUUAGUUAUAUUCAUUAUGGAUUACAUUUUCCUGCAGUUUAUUUAGGAGUAAAGUCUUCCCAGGCUGCAAUUAAUCCAAAUUAAAAUACAUUUAUGCUGAUCAUUAAAACAAUUUGUUGCAGACAAGUUUCCAUUUGAUCACUUCCCAACGUCGGCAGUCAAGAUAACUGCCAAUUAUCCCUCCUAAUAAAUACUUUAAAACAGGUACACCAACUCUUGGACGCUUUCCACUCCAUGCAGGCUCCUUGAUAUUAUUUGUGGUAAUCCAAGUGCUAGGGAGGAGAGGGAGGAUUUGUAGCUGCUUAUUGGACUAUUCUGCCCUUCCUUUCCACCCCGAAAUCCAUCGCCAGUCUGUAGAUAGGUGGCAUGUUCUGGCCCUUGCCAGUCUGCGCCCUGAAACAUACGAGGAAAGCCUAGUGUAGGAGCUGUCUAGGACUAUUCCCUUCCUGAUCUGAGCACAGACCUGGGAAGAAUAGCUUCUCAAACGAUACUAUAGUAUCUCCCACUUGAGCAGAAAGCAUAAGAUUGGACUUCUCAGGACUGCAUCUCACUAUGUAGCUCUACGAAAGAGAGGCCUUCCCCACCCCUUUAACUGAAGUAAAAAUCAACAUCUUAUAUUGAUUAUAUUUCAGUACGGUGGAACUGAAAGGUAUUAAACAACUUUUGCUUAUAUAUUCUCUCUUUUUUUCUUUUUUAAGAGUGACAAAAGACCAGCAAAUUAGAAUACUACAAUAUGUAACCAGCCCUGUCUGCCCGCUACAACCACCAGAGUUAAUAAUAUGCCAGGCUCGGUUGGGACCACAGGAUCCAUGAGAUUAAAGAGUGGAAAUACUGGAAGAAAUUAAUACAGGGCACGAAAAGAUCUAUUUAGAAGAAAAUAUUCACAGGCUUUUGUGAUGUGUUGGGUUUUUUUUUUGUUUAAUUCCCUCAAGAGAUUAAACAACACUUGUUCCCCACUGUAAUGGGGAAAAUCCAGUCUGAUUUCCAUUCAGCUAUCACAAAUGCAAAUUACUGAUUUCAGUGAAUUGAGAGAGACUAAAGGGAGUCCUCCAUUGGCUGACCACAGGGAUCAUUUUCUCCUAACACUUUGGGUUUCAAGUCCAAAGUGAAGUAUACUCUUAUCCCUCCUCCCCCCCGCCCCCACCACACACACACUUGGGCAGUCCCCACCCUAGUCAAGAAAGAGUUUGACCUUCUCCAGGUGCAAUCAACCUCAACCCAGUUUGGUUUGUCAAGCCUGAAGAUGGGUGGGUCCUUAAAAGGGAGGAUCCCUGCGCAGAGCAGGGUAGCACUCUGAAGGAGUAGGACUGCAACUUAGAGUUCCCUGGCCUCUGGAAGCUGGGGUUGCUGACCAGGGCAUCACUUGAGAGCCUUGACCUCUCACACCCCCUGAGAAAGGAGGAGGCUGGUACUUUUCCUUCCACCCCCCGCCUUUGGUUUCCCAAAGGCCUAGGACUCUGCUUUUUGUGGGUUAUAGAAGCGUACUGACUUUUUGUUGGACUACUUUAACUUCCCCCUGCGAGACUGCUGCUACCCUGAACAGCACAGCUGGUUGGCUGUGCCGUAGACUCAAAUAGGAGCAGCACCCACCCUCUCUCCAAGGAGGCACUAGAGAGCUAUAGCCUAAUAUACCUCCUUCCAGUUAACUCUAGCAACUCCUUUGGUGGGAUACCAGGGACUGAGAAACAAGAAUAAGGGAUACAGUCUCUUGCCAAAGAACUUGCUGGUACAGCAACUAUAUAUUAAGGUGGAAAUUUCUUCCAAUAAUCCAUCAAUUUUAUUUUCCAGAACAGCAAAUGAGGAAUUCAUAUAAAACAGAAAUAGUUAUAAAAAUAUGGCCAGCAUAACACAUCCCCCAAUGUUGCAAGAAGAAAUGGGGAUUGAAGGCUUUUUGAAGCUUUUAAUCAGACUUUUAAAAAUAUAUAUAUAUAUA
Chrysemys picta bellii (western painted turtle) is the source of this 2816-nucleotide non-coding RNA. NCBI's taxonomy places the organism in Eukaryota, Metazoa, Chordata, Testudines, Emydidae. The record is from RefSeq and is a predicted model, not a curated record.